UGUGGAUGUGUGCAUGUUGUGUGUCCAUA
Molecule: non-coding RNA, 29 nt
Filed under: Rattus norvegicus (Norway rat)
Lineage: Eukaryota; Metazoa; Chordata; Mammalia; Rodentia; Muridae
Source: RNAcentral